CUAGUACUCCCUCCGUCCGAAAAUACUUGUCGUAGGAAUGGAUGUAUCUAGAUGUAUUUUAGUUCUAGAUACAUCCAUUUAUAUCAUUUUUGUGACAAGUAAUUCCGGACGGAGGGAGUAGUUA
Molecule: microRNA precursor, 124 nt
Filed under: Hordeum vulgare
Lineage: Eukaryota; Viridiplantae; Streptophyta; Magnoliopsida; Poales; Poaceae
Description: microRNA MIR1122
Rfam family: MIR1120/MIR1122 microRNA precursor family
Source: RNAcentral